This 439-nucleotide ribosomal RNA is filed under the name uncultured bacterium. Its description in RNAcentral is "bacterial SSU rRNA". It matches the Rfam family "Bacterial small subunit ribosomal RNA", at positions 959 to 1397 of the family's 1533-position model. The record is from RNAcentral.
ACGCGAGGAACCUUACCAGGUCUUGACAUCCUCUGACACUCCUAGAGAUAGGACGUUCCCCUUCGGGGGACAGAGUGACAGGUGGUGCAUGGUUGUCGUCAGCUCGUGUCGUGAGAUGUUGGGUUAAGUCCCGCAACGAGCGCAACCCUUGAUCUUAGUUGCCAGCAUUCAGUUGGGCACUCUAAGGUGACUGCCGGUGACAAACCGGAGGAAGGUGGGGAUGACGUCAAAUCAUCAUGCCCCUUAUGACCUGGGCUACACACGUGCUACAAUGGAUGGUACAAAGGGCUGCAAGACUGUGAAGUCAAGCCAAUCCCAUAAAACCAUUCUCAGUUCGGAUUGCAGGCUGCAACUCGCCUGCAUGAAGCCGGAAUCGCUAGUAAUCGCGGAUCAGCAUGCCGCGGUGAAUACGUUCCCGGGCCUUGCACACACCGCCCGU